GUGUAGACUUUAUUUUGGAUUAAGUUGAAUUGAUUGUCUUUGGCGUCAGAUUAGUGCCUCCCACUCCACAUUGAAAAUCUAAUUAUUCAGCUACAUUUGCACAGUUGGGUGCUCUCAGAAUGGUUCAUGUUAGUGUCUUAUUUCUGAUAUGAAAUUUUGGAAAGGAAGAUGUACUGUGGAUCUGAUGACAUAUUAGAGGUGAUGUAAUCAAGUAGCCUUAGGCAGCAGUAAUUUCAUUUUUAAACAAGCAAGCAAUAGCUUUAUAGCCUCUAAUAUAUGGUACAUU
Molecule: long non-coding RNA, 286 nt
Filed under: Bos taurus (domestic cattle)
Lineage: Eukaryota; Metazoa; Chordata; Mammalia; Artiodactyla; Bovidae
Description: long non-coding RNA NONBTAT013435
Source: RNAcentral